CUGGGACACCAUCUCCACUUACAGAAGAGAUAAGGAGCGUUAAUUGACAGCUGGUUUUUUUUUUUUACUUUCCGACCACUGAUAUUAUACAUUCAAAUGAUCAGACCACCUGUUCUAACAUCUGAAAGAGGUUUUUAGAUGUACUCUGCUUUUGAAUAUCAAUAGGAGGAGGAAAUUGCCACCUGAGUGGCAGGCAGGCCGUGACAAGGUUUUCUCUCAACAAGCUGAUGACAGAAUAAUUUUUCCAAGUUGAUUGUUUGCCCCAUAUGGACCUCUGGAGAUCUUCAUACAGUGGAAAGAAGGAGAUCAAAAGGCUAGAAGAAAAAAGAGGCGGAGGACUGAAAAAAGCCAACAUAAAGAUCCUGCUCAGGCUCAGAGUGUUUUCUGAAAAAGUUCUGCAAGGCAGAGAAGUUGAACACUUGAUCACAUGCAGGAGCACAGGAUAGAUGGAGUACAGCUGACUCAACAGCUACAGGGAAUUUGGGUAAGUGCCCAGCAUGUC
This 502-nucleotide long non-coding RNA is filed under the name Apteryx rowi (Okarito brown kiwi). RNAcentral's name for it is "lncRNA (ENSARWG00000005926.1)". The record is from RNAcentral. Lineage: Eukaryota; Metazoa; Chordata; Aves; Apterygiformes; Apterygidae.